CAGUCGCCGCGGUAAUACAGAGGAUGCAAGCGUUAUCCGGAAUGAUUGGGCGUAAAGCGUCUGUAGGUGGCUUUUCAAGUCCGCCGUCAAAUCCCAGGGCUCAACCCUGGACAGGCGGUGGAAACUACCAAGCUGGAGUACAGUAGGGGCAGAGGGAAUUUCUGGUGGAGCGGUGAAAUGCGUUGAGAUCGGAAAGAACACCAACGGCGAAAGCACUCUGCUGGGCCGACACUGACACUGAGAGACGAAAGCUAGGGGAGCAAAUGGGAUUAGAUACCCCUGUAGUCCCUGUCUCUUAUAA
This 301-nucleotide ribosomal RNA is filed under the name uncultured bacterium. RNAcentral's name for it is "partial 16S ribosomal RNA". It matches the Rfam family "Bacterial small subunit ribosomal RNA", at positions 509 to 809 of the family's 1533-position model. The record is from RNAcentral.